This 433-nucleotide ribosomal RNA is filed under the name uncultured bacterium. RNAcentral describes it as "partial 16S ribosomal RNA". It matches the Rfam family "Bacterial small subunit ribosomal RNA", at positions 29 to 507 of the family's 1533-position model. The record is from RNAcentral.
AACGAACGCUGGCGGCAUGCCUAACACAUGCAAGUCGAACGAGACCGCCGGGUCUAGUUGCGCUCGGGGGCGUAACGCGUGGGAAGCUGCCCUUAGGUACCGAAUAACUCCCCUAAGGGGGUGCUAAUACCGGAUAAUGUCUUCGGACAAAAGAUUUAUCGAGCUUGGAUGGGCGCGCGUUGGAUUCGCUGGUUGGUAGUGUAAUAGCCUACCAAGGCGUCGAUCCAUAGCUGGUCUGAGAGGAUGCGCAGCCACACUGGGGCUGAGACACGGACGAGAAUCGUAGGCAAGGGAGGAGAGGGGAAUAUUGGAGGAGGGAGGAAGGCAUGAUGCCGCAACGUCGGGUAAGAGAUGAUGGGGGUAGGGUAGUACAGCUGUUUUAGACGGGGUGAUAAUGACGGUACCGGGAGAAUAAGCACCGGCUAACUACGUG